CCUACGGGGGGCAGCAGUGGGGAAUAUUGCACAAUGGGGGAAACCCUGAUGCAGCGACGCCGCGUGAGUGAAGAAGUAUUUCGGUAUGUAAAGCUCUGUCAGCAGGGAAGAAAAUGACGGUAUCUGACCAAGAAGCCCCGGCUAACUACGUGCCAGCAGCCGCGGUAAUACGUAGGGGGCAAGCGUUAUCCGGAUUUACUGGGUGUAAAGGGAGCGUAGACGGCAGGGCAAGUCUGGAGUGAAAGGCGGGGGCUCAACCACCGGACUGCUCUGGAAACUGCCAGGCUGGAGUGCAGGAGAGGUAAGAGGAAUUCCUAGUGUAGCGGUGAAAUGCGUAGAGAUUAGGAGGAACACCAGGGGCGAAGGCGGCUUACUGGACUGUAACUGACGUUGAGGCGCGAAAGCGUGGGGAGCAAACAGGAUUAGAUACCCUAGUAGUC
Molecule: ribosomal RNA, 440 nt
Filed under: uncultured bacterium
Lineage: Bacteria
Description: partial 16S ribosomal RNA
Rfam family: Bacterial small subunit ribosomal RNA
Source: RNAcentral